RNAcentral lists this ribosomal RNA (253 nucleotides) under uncultured bacterium. RNAcentral's name for it is "partial 16S ribosomal RNA". It matches the Rfam family "Bacterial small subunit ribosomal RNA", at positions 524 to 776 of the family's 1533-position model. The record is from RNAcentral.
UACGUAGGUGGCAAGCGUUGUCCGGAUUUAUUGGGUUUAAAGAGUGCGUAGGCGGUCUAUUAAGUCAGCGGUGAAAUACUCCAGCUCAACUGGAGGGGUGCCAUUGAUACUGAUGGACUUGAGUCAAGUCGAGGUAGGCGGAAUUGACGGUGUAGCGGUGAAAUGCUUAGAUAUCGUCAAGAACACCAAUAGUGAAGACAGCUUACUGGGCUUAAACUGACGCUGAGGCACGAAAGUGUGGGGAUCAAACAGG